Molecule: long non-coding RNA, 685 nt
Organism: Herpailurus yagouaroundi (jaguarundi)
Lineage: Eukaryota; Metazoa; Chordata; Mammalia; Carnivora; Felidae
Exons: 4
Source: RefSeq, a predicted model, not a curated record
GCUGCCGGUGGAUCAAUAAAGUCAUACAUAUAUGGACAAGAAAAGAUAUGGGGAAAUAAAAUACAAGCAAGUGUACAUGUGACACACACAGCGUCCCCACGUGCUACUUCACUCCCUCUGUCUAGGGUUUUAGCUGAGCCUUGUGCACUGCAUGUGGAGAGCUCUGAGGCAUCUGUGUGGAAUGCUGUCCACAGGGAAGAAGUCUGUAAAAAAGAAUAGGAAAGUUUAAGGACUGAAAACACUCACCAGCAUAUUUGUGCUGUUGGCCUUCACCUGCCAAGGCUGAGCGAGCAUCUUGGUCCAUCCACGACCCACCUGCCCUCCUCUACCCACCAUCCUCCUGGAGCUCCUGUUGCAGCUGAGGCCUGGGGAGAACAAGGCUGGUUCUAACCCUCUGAAGAAAGUCCCCAGCUCCGAUUAGCCCCAGAAAGUCCAUCAAAAUUCUUACCAGAGUCCUAAAAAGAAGAUGAUGGAAGAAAGAAUUGGACUCCUGCUUUUAAAUGAAAAUAUGUAUAUAAAUCGGCCAAUAUGGAUCCACUCCUGUCACUGUAGUGCUCAAUGAAUAUGACUUUUCUUCUCUCCCACUCAGUAGGUGAUGUCUCUUCCACAUGCCAAUGGGAAAUUGUACUAAAGAGUGGGCAGGAGUCAAAACUUCAGUCAUUGGUUUUCCACUUUGGCCUGUGAA